UGCUUUUUAAAACAUGCUUAGGUUCC
RNAcentral lists this non-coding RNA (26 nucleotides) under Mus musculus (house mouse). Lineage: Eukaryota; Metazoa; Chordata; Mammalia; Rodentia; Muridae. The record is from RNAcentral.